GUGAUGUUUUCCCAUCCCCACAUGUUACGGGAAACUAACAAGCCCAUCCCUUGUCAAGAGACACACGUGCACCUUUUUUUUCGCAUGUAACAGAAGGUUUUUUGUGACUGAAGGAUCUACCUUUGGAAAACUCCCAAGGAGAUGGAUACAUUUAUCAGACACGAGCGAAGCAGAGAUCGCGGACAGUGAUGAAAGACUGGACGGCAUUGCUCUACCACCAACAGUGGUCUGAUGAAGGACUGCAAACCACAGCUCUUGUGUUUUUUGCACCAUGGGUUUUAAAAUCCGUCCUCUGCCUCCCACAAGGAGCUACUACCCAAGGGAAGGGAGAAGAUUAAUUGGUGACCUUUCGCCGUGUUAAAAUAGGAUGAGUAUGUUGCUGGUCAAGGCAGAAACGCUAACUUCCAACUGUGGUCUGUUAAGAGAUCUGCUGGGAACCUUCAGAAGCACUGCCUUCCAAGGCGGGGCCACAGCUUGGGGUGUUCAGCACUUGAGGACGGGUGGAGCUUGUUCAACCCAAAGAUGUGUGCGAUGAACGGAUCUACACACUGGAAAUACGUAUCAAAACUGCAACAGCAAAAUCAUAUUUUGUAAAUUAAAAUUGUGUUUACUUACUGUG
RNAcentral lists this long non-coding RNA (619 nucleotides) under Homo sapiens (human). RNAcentral describes it as "HSALNT0159140". Lineage: Eukaryota; Metazoa; Chordata; Mammalia; Primates; Hominidae. The record is from RNAcentral.